AUGUUCAAGACUAGCCAUGCACGUCUAGUACAAACUAAAUGAUGGUGAAACUGCAAAUGGCUCAUUACAACGGUUAUGAUGUACCCGGGAGUUCCGAUGGAUAUUUCCAGUAACACUAGAACUAAUACAUGUCCCUGCGUUUAUUAGUUUCGCACAGUCCGUCGCUGAGUCAUGGUAAACAGUUGAUCGACUCGACGUCCCGGAACAGUUUCCGCCCCAUCAGCUUCGAUGGUUGGGUAUUGGCCUACCAUUGCAACAACGGGUAACGAGGAAUUAGGGUUUGAUUUCGGAGAGGGAGCCUGAGAAACGGCUACCGCAUCUACGGAUGGCAGCAGGCGCGCAAAUUACCCAACGCAGACACUGUGAGGUAGUGACGAGAAAUAAUAAAGCGGGACUUCUGUUUCGCUAUUAUAAUGAGGAAUAACCAAAGGUCAUUCCGAUUAGCAACUGAUGGGAAAGUCUGGUGCCAGCAGCCGCGGUAAUACCAGCGUCAGUAGCAU
This 500-nucleotide ribosomal RNA is filed under the name uncultured Myrionecta. RNAcentral's name for it is "SSU rRNA". It matches the Rfam family "Eukaryotic small subunit ribosomal RNA", at positions 34 to 600 of the family's 1831-position model. The record is from RNAcentral. Lineage: Eukaryota; Ciliophora; Litostomatea; Cyclotrichida; Mesodiniidae.